CUAUACAUGACUCUGCGCAUAUCAAUAAGCGGAGGAAAAGAAACUAACAAGGAUUCCCCUAGUAACGGCGAGUGAAGCGGGAAGAGCUCAAAUUUGAAAUCUUAAAGGGUUUCCCUUUACGAAUUGUAGUUUAAAGAAGUGUUUUCUGUUGAGGUUUUGGUAAAAGUUCUUUGGAAUAGGACAUCAUAGAGGGUGAGAAUCCCGUAUUUGACCAUUACUUUCAACUUUGUGAUACACUUUCAAAGAGUCGGAUUGUUUGGGAAUGCAGUCCAAAAUGGGUGGUAAAUUUCAUCUAAAGCUAAAUAUUGGCGAGAGACCGAUAGCGAACAAGUACCGUGAGGGAAAGAUGAAAAGAACUUUGAAAAGAGAGUUAAACAGUACGUGAAAUUGUCAAAAGGGAAGCGUUUGACACCAGUGUUGUUCUUCUGAAAAUCAAUUAAAGAACUGUUUAUGCUAAGUUGUUUAGACUUUAUCAGCUAACUGUUUAGUUUUGAGCUUUUCUUUAAUGCACUUUUCAGUUAACAAGUCAACAUCAAUUUCUUUUGCUGUAAAAAAGCUUGAGGAAGGUGGCUUGAGAUUCGUCUUAAGUGUUUAUAGCCUCUUGCCUAUGCAGUCGGAGAGAUUGAGGUCUGCAGCGUAGAUCCUUCGGGGCUAAAUGCAUUUGUGCUAAGUUAUAGCAUUUUAUAGACAACUUGUUGACUAUGAUUUGUCUUGUAGCUUACUCGCUUAUGUUAUUUUACCUACGCUUAGGAUGUUGACAGCAGUAUAGACUGU
This 774-nucleotide ribosomal RNA is filed under the name uncultured Neocallimastigales. RNAcentral describes it as "partial large subunit ribosomal RNA". It matches the Rfam family "Eukaryotic large subunit ribosomal RNA", at positions 22 to 629 of the family's 3401-position model. The record is from RNAcentral. Lineage: Eukaryota; Fungi; Neocallimastigomycota; Neocallimastigomycetes; Neocallimastigales.